CGGGAUAAUGGUUCACUGCUUACAUUUUUCUUUAAAGAAUGCUUCGAAGAAAAUUCUAUGUAGAAUUCUUCGAUACCAGGUAAUGCAUAAAAGUAAGCUAUGCGGAAUAAUGGUUCCCCGCUUACAUUUUUCUUUGAAGAAUGCUUCGAAGAAAAUUCUAUGUAAAAUUCUUCGAUACCAGGUAAUGCAUAAAAGUAAGCUAUGCGGAAUAAUGGUUCCCCGCUUACAUUUUUCUUUGAAGAAUACUUCGAAAAAAAUUCUAUGUAGAAUUCUUCGAUACCAGGUAAUGCAUAAAAGUAAGCUAUGCGGAAUAAUGGUUCCCCGCUUACAUUUUUCUUUGAAGAAUGCUUCGAAGAAAAUUCUAUGUAAAAUUCUUCGAUACCAGGUAAUGCAUAAAAGUAAGCUAUGCGGAAUAAUGGUUCCCCGCUUACAUUUUUCUUUGAAGAAUACUUCGAAAAAAAUUCUAUGUAGAAUUCUUCGAUACCAGGUAAUGCAUAAAAGUAAGCUGUGCGGCUAAAUUCUACUGUGUUCAUAUUUACAAGUCAAGUAAGUACGUGAAAAACGACAAAUACAAAUUGAUGGAAUAAAAUUUAUAAGUAAAUUUUUUCAUUAUUUCGUCAAAUCAUCAAGCAAAAAGUUGGUUACUAUUUGGUAAGUAUUUCGUGUUUUUAACAUUGAAGGACAUAGCUUCAAAUUUAUAAACAUACUCUUUCAACUUUUUUGUAGAAUGUGUGAAAGUUGAAGGCUUCACCAAAUCGGAAUAUAUUCACCAAAUUCAAAAAAUUAUCAAACUCGCCAAACGCAGUUUCUUCAAGUCUCGUUGCUUGAAAAAAAACGGCAAGAGACUCAGCCACAAAAUUAAAAGAAAACCAUAAUGGCUAAAUGAGUAGCGACCAACAUCUCCGCUUUGGCAGCAUCCCGGUUCUUUCCGCUAGUUACCCGUCUGUAUAUAUGUAUAUUUAACGUUUUUAAAAAUGUUUUCAACCUUUGAUCAUUUUAUAUAUACAUACAUACAUAUACAUUUAAUAUGUAUUUAACGUUUUUAAACUAUUUCAAUUUGUAAUAAUUCGGUUCAUUUAAACACAUUUUGUUAUAACAAUUUUUAAGUGCAUUUCGCAUAAAAUAAAACCUUUAUAACGAUUGUAUUGAAUCUAGUGCAUUUUUCUUUUUAACAAAAAGUGUGAGUGGCCUAUAAGGUGAGUUUUUGUACACAUAAUACUUAUUUUCAUACGAAUAUGCAAUUUUUCCUAUUGACCUUGGCAUCAAAGAAUUCUUCGUGAACUAUGGCAUCGAAGAAUUCUUCGUUAACUGUGGCAUCGAAGAAUUCUUCGUUAACUGUGGCAUCGAAGAAUUCAUCGUUAACUGUGGCAUCGAAGAAUUCUUCGUUUACUUUGGCAUCAAAGAAAUCUUCGUUAACUAUGGCAUCGAAGAAUUCAUCGUUAACUGUGGCAUCAAAGAAUUCCUCGUUUACUUUGGCAUCGAAGAAUUCUUCGUCCCAUGGUAAGCGUAAAAGGUGAUCUGUUACUUUUCGUAGGACAUCGCCGUGUUAAUUUUCAUCGGUCGGGGUAAGCGAUACAAUCAUGCUGUAUCGUUUACCUUGCUCGCUUACCAAUGUCUACCAUAUCCCGCUGGG
Long non-coding RNA from Bactrocera dorsalis (oriental fruit fly), 1633 nucleotides. RefSeq lists it as uncharacterized. The record is from RefSeq and is a predicted model, not a curated record. Lineage: Eukaryota; Metazoa; Arthropoda; Insecta; Diptera; Tephritidae. The transcript is spliced from 2 exons.